UCUCCACCCUAAUUCCACCUCACUGAAGCUGCAAAAGAAGCCAAGAGCCGUGAGACCUUUGGACACCAUCAGCACAAACAGAGGUCUGACACAUUGGAAAGCCCUUAUCACCGCCUGUGUGUUUAUUCUGUUCAAACUGCAAACUGAAAGAAGACAAGCUAACCAUUCUUUGCAAAGUCUGCUGGAUCUUAAGUUGGAAAAUAAAUGAACAUCAGGAACUGAAGACCAAGCUAUGCCACUUCUCAGAGAGACCAAGCAAUUUGUUCAAGGGUGCCAGAGAAGACCGUCGUGGAGCAGAAAACUGUUCCCAUUGCCCCUAGGGCGGGACGGAGGCUGUAGCCACGAGGUUAUCUUCCUUUUGGUGGCACCAUGAUGUCACUUCCCAAUUAACUCAAUGCUUUCUGGCAAGUCCCACUGGCAGCUCCCUCUUCUGGGACAGAGAAGUGCCAUAUCUGCACCUUGAUCUCCAGGAAGGCCUUCUCGCCUCUAGCCCUGCUGGGGGAAGAUGAGUGCAAAGCCUCUGGUGGGACAGAAGGCCACCAGCCUUCCAACAUGUCCUCCUAUUGCAGCAGCCAUCCCUCCAGCGAUGUCUAGUGCUCCAAAUACUGCUGGGAAUAGCAAGCACUAAAAGGAGACUCUCUUCCAGGCUGGCAAGGAGAUGUACAAGAUGGCAUAUUCUCUGCUCCUGUGUCCAUGCCAUGUGGGCUAAUCUCAGAAUCACAGCACAGACAUGGAAGUGACACGAGGCUGGAGAUCACCUGGUCCAACCCCCUGAUGGGGAAAAACUGCUUGGCUUCCCAGGAGCAGCUGCUCCAUGUGUGGCACCGAGGGGCACCAGGGCACUGUGGAGCUGUCUUGAUGGCUUCCUCCAUCUGCCAAGCUCGUUUGCCAUCAGACAGCUCAGUAAUUACAUACAACAGCCUUGUACAGCA
Gallus gallus (chicken) is the source of this 932-nucleotide long non-coding RNA. RefSeq lists it as uncharacterized. Lineage: Eukaryota; Metazoa; Chordata; Aves; Galliformes; Phasianidae. The transcript is spliced from 3 exons. The record is from RefSeq and is a predicted model, not a curated record.